GCCCACGUAGCUCAGUGGACUAGAGCACUGGGUUCCGGUCCCAGGUGUCGGAGGUUCGAAUCCUUUCGUGGGCG
Synechococcus sp. JA-2-3B'a(2-13) is the source of this 74-nucleotide transfer RNA. It matches the Rfam family "tRNA". From Rfam's summary of the family: Transfer RNA (tRNA) molecules are approximately 80 nucleotides in length. Their secondary structure includes four short double-helical elements and three loops (D, anti-codon, and T loops). NCBI's taxonomy places the organism in Bacteria, Bacillati, Cyanobacteriota, Cyanophyceae, Synechococcales, Synechococcaceae. The record is from Rfam.